Molecule: ribosomal RNA, 221 nt
Filed under: Escherichia coli
Lineage: Bacteria; Pseudomonadati; Pseudomonadota; Gammaproteobacteria; Enterobacterales; Enterobacteriaceae
Description: partial 16S ribosomal RNA
Rfam family: Bacterial small subunit ribosomal RNA
Source: RNAcentral
AAAUUGAAGAGUUUGAUCAUGGCUCAGAUUGAACGCUGGCGGCAGGCCUAACACAUGCAAGUCGAACGGUAACAGGAAGCAGCUUGCUGCUUUGCUGACGAGUGGCGGACGGGUGAGUAAUGUCUGGGAAACUGCCUGAUGGAGGGGGAUAACUACUGGAAACGGUAGCUAAUACCGCAUAACGUCGCAAGACCAAAGAGGGGGACCUUCGGGCCUCUUGC